ACCUUUGGUCCUGACAAAGUCUGUUUACUAAAGCCAUCAACACAUUCAGUGUCAAAUGGUCAAGUCAUACAUACAGCAUACGGGACUCCCCGAAUAUUUGUUCAACUCAAUCUGGGAGAAAAAUACAUUUUAAGGAUUAAAGGAUUGCUUUUAAAUAUUUAAACUGCCUAUUUCUGUAUCUUAAUACCUAAAUUGAUUUCUUACAGAACAAGCCAAAUUUUCCCAGAAAAUUACAUUGGGCAUCUUUGGAAGAACAUUAAAACUUUGAGGUAGCCCUGGUCCUGUUGCUCAAAUUACUGCUCCAGUGCACCAAACGGUGACCUGUUCAGUAGCUCAGAGUAUGCAAAAAACAGAAAAUCUACAAGUUUUGGACAAAAUUCCUCCCAAACACCUCACCUGGGAUCACUAGAGUCUGCAAAAGUCGUAUGCUAUGCUGUUUCAAGGAAUCUUCAUCCUCUUUCUAGGUUUGGUAAGAAGACUCUCAAAUCAAUUUUAAAGCAAAUCAUCCAGGAUCACACACCAAAACCAGACCAUGGAUUUGGUUCAAUUAUAAAUCUGCUGCUUGAGUGA
RNAcentral lists this long non-coding RNA (570 nucleotides) under Vulpes vulpes (red fox). RNAcentral's name for it is "lncRNA (ENSVVUG00000000450.1)". The record is from RNAcentral. Lineage: Eukaryota; Metazoa; Chordata; Mammalia; Carnivora; Canidae.